GUGAAUGUCCUGGAGGAGCAUCAGGACAGGUUCGGGUGGGAGGGUGAGGCACCGACACAGAUUGCGCGUCAGAUCGUGAUGCACAAACUGAACGUCGACUCAUCCAUUCCAGCUCGACGCCAGAAGCGUCGAGUACUCACUUCUGACAGGCGGGAGGCAGCCAAUGAGGAAAUAUCGGAACUCCUGAAUGCAGGGCACAUUCGGGAGGUUCGAUACCCGACUUGGUUGGUCAACCCCGUCCUUGUCAAGAAACCCAAUGGCAAGUGGCGCAUGUGUAUUGAUUUCACUGAUCUCAAUAAAGCAUGCCCCAAGGACAGUUACCCGUUGCCAUCUAUCGACGAACUAGUCGAUGGAGCAUCCAGUAACGAGCUCCUCUCUAUGAUGGAUGCCCACUCAGGAUACAACCAAAUCCUGAUGCAUGAGCCUGAUGAGGAAAAAAUAUCCUUCAUCACGGACUCGGAGACAUUCUAUUACAGAGUAAUGCCAUUCGGUUUAAGGAAUGCUGGAGCUACAUUCCAACGCUUGAUGGACAAGGUUUUCGCAAACCAGAUUGGGCGCAACGUUUCCGCUUAUAUCGAUGACAUCCUAGUCAAGUCGUCAAGCAUGGAAAAGCACCCUGAUGAUCUGAGAGAAACCCUUGAUACAUUAAAGCAAUAUGGAAUGAAGCUUAACCCAGCCAAGUGCGCAUUUGGAAUCAAGGAAGGCAAGUUCCUUGGUUUCUAUGUAGGCCAGCACGGGAUCAAACCUAAUCCCGACAAAAUCCAAGCUAUCCUCGAUAUGGAAGCCCCCCGCACAAUCAGAGAAGUACAAAGGCUGAACGGUCGAAUUAAUGCACUAAGUCGUUUUAAGUGCCCAGAUAUACGAAUCCCGCGCAGAAUUUCUCGGGCUUCAAGCGCGGAAGUGAUGGAGAAUGGAUGUAUGGUCUCAUUCGGUGGCACAAGAGGUGCAUUAACAAAAACUUCUUCAAAAGACCCCUCGCUCGUGUCACUGAAGGGUAACAGUCUAAUCUCACCACCCGGCAAGGUUUCGCAGUGAGCGUAGCCGGUGUGGUUCUCCACUCCCUCAUAGAAUGGGAGAUUCACAUGGUCUCCAUCCUUAUCCACUUCCGUGGGAGGAGGAGGAGUCUAUGAUCCAUCAGCAGGAUCAGUACAGCGUCGGCUCUGGCUGCGGUCCAGUUCUAGUUCCUGAUCGUAGUCAAAGGGCUCAGGAACCCGUACACCCUCCGCGGAGGGGAAAUGCGUCUUUCCUCUACCCCUCAUCUCGUAAGUAGGAGGAAUGGGGGUACUACCCUCGCAAGAUGAGUUCUUCACGUGUUUAGGGUGUUUUCUCUUUCUUUUCUUACUAGGCCUCUCAGAUUCAUCAAUCGGCCUCUCAGCUUCCACCACUUGAAUGGGUGCAGGUUCUUCAACUUCAGCCCCCGAGUUGGGGGGCAAUAUCGGCGAGUUAGGGUCCAGACUCGCCGAUGUUUGAGUGGAACUCGCCGAUCCCAGUUUGACAACUCGGCGAGGCCUCUUGAAGAUGGGGACACCCCCUUUGCCCUUAGUCGGCGACUUCCCAAAGGGACUCGCCGACUUAAGUGCAAGACUCGGGGGAAUCUCACCCACUUCAAUAGUGGGCUCUGCUACGACCAGAGCCAUAGAGUCACCCCUCAAACUCGCCGACUUCUUGUUAGAACUCGGCGAGUUUUCCGGAGUAAGCCCGAGCAACUCUCGGGCCGUAGCACAGUACUUAGCGUUCUGCGGCGCAUCAACAGCCGGAAUCUCCGACCCACCGCGCACAAGCGAGGGGAUCGGAGACUCGACGGUAUUGAGCACCGCCGCUUAGCUAUCAUCAAUGUCAGUGUUCAGUAAAUCGUCGACCAAAGCUUCGGUCUCCGACAUGGUAAGGUAGGGAAGCGACGGUUGGUCUGCCAUAUGUCGGCGAUAUAAGGACAAACUCGGCGACUUAGUGGUGAGUUCUGGUGAUUGUGGUGAGAGUCGGCGAGUUAGGAAAAGACUCGGCGACUUAGCAAGGGAUUAGGGUUUAAGCAAUUUAGGGAAAGUGAUGUGCGGAUUAAAAUAAUCGAUUCACUAUUUAUAGACCCUAGACAAAUUGCAAAAAUCCCUCGGAAAAUCUAGAAAUUACGCGAAGAAAAAUCGCUAAUUGAUUCCCAAAUCCACAAGAUUCGGCGAGUUUCUCGCAAACUCGCCGAGUUUGGGCAAAAAUCACGGGAUACGAAGGAGGAACUUCCAUAUUUGGAAAAUUUGCAAAUAUUUCCCAAGAUCCUAAGGAUUUUCUAAGAGAUCCGCCAGCUCAUACUAAGACUCGCCGAGUUUAUAAGAAAGUCGCCGAUCUAGGUCAGCAAACCUCCAGGUUUCUCAUAGAACAACCCCGAUUCUAAGUCUCCGAGUUAAUACAUUAAGUCGUCGACUUAGGAUGUCACAUAGUAUCUUAAGGGGGGGGAGUAUCACAAGCUCUCCCGAUAUUUUUACCGUUUCGGUUGGAGAUCGUCAAAUUUCAGGGAGGAGUAUCACAAGCUCUCCCGACUUUUCUGUCGCUCCGGCCGAAAAUUAUCAAACUUCGAGGGGGAGUAUCACAAGCUCUCCCGACAUUUCUACCGCUUCGGCUGGAGAUCGUCGAAUUUCAGGGGGGAGUUUCACAAGCUCUCCCGACUUUUCUGUCGCUCCAGCCGGAAAUUGUCAAACUUCGAGAGGGAGUAUCACAAGCUCUUCCGACAUUUCUAUCGCUUCGGCUGGAGAUCGUCAAAUUUCAGGGGGGAGUAUCACAAGCUCUCCCGACUAUUCUGUCGCUCCGGUCGGAAAUUGUCAAACUCCGAGGGGAGUAUCACAAGCUCUCCCGACUUUUCUGUCGCUUCAGCCGAAAAUUGUCAAACUUCGAGGGGGAGUAUCACAAGCUCUCCCGACUUUUCUGUCACUCCGGUCAGAAAUCGUCAUAUUUCAGGGGGGAGUAUCCCAAGCUCUCCCGACACUUCUGUCGCUCUGGACAGAAGUCGUCAAAUAUGAGCACGGUGAGUCUGUCGCUUCGGCCAGAUUCACCAAGGAUUGGUUCAAGCAAAGGGAGAAUAUCACGAGAGGUAAAAUCGCACGGUAAGUUAAAUUGGUCAAUAGUAAUAUGUGUUUUAGACUAAUCUAGUUGUUUUGCAGGAUGUUUUCUUUUUUGCAGGUAUUAUUCUGUCGCUUUGAACAGAAUGUUUUCUUUUUUGCAGGUGUUAUUCUUUCGCUUUGGCCAAAAUCAGACUCUAAUAGUGAGUCAAUCUAUCUUGUCGCUUUUGCCUUGAUAGACUAGAGAUCGUUCUGUCGCUUUGGCCUUAACGAUCUCAACCCAUCUUGUCACUUUAAGCCUUGAAGGGGGCCUUCGUUGCGGACUUUAAGUCGCUCUUGAUCAAGGUGGAUUAUAAACAUUAGUUCUAUCGCUUCGGCUAGAACUCGGUUCUAUCGCUUUGGCUAGAACCCGAUUCUGUCGCUUCGGCCUGAAUCAGAUUCCGUCGCUUCGGUCGGAAUUAAUCUUGUCGCUUCAACCUUGAUAAACACAGUGCAGUCGCCCUUGAUCAGGGAAGGACUAUAAAUAGAGUUUCUGUUGGCCUGGAACUCGAUUCUGUCGCUUUGGCCAAAAUCAAUCCAUUCUUGACGCUUUGGCCUUAAUGGAUUCGGAAUCAGUACGUCACUGUGGGCGGAAUGAUUCGAUCUCAUCUUGUCGCUUCGUCCCUGGUGCGGAUCACACACACUGAACCUUGGUUGGGGAGGUACUGGCGAUACACGCAUGUUUUUUGUGCUCUCUUCAGGGGGGAGUACUGGUGAGACAUGCUUGAUUACGGCAGUCACUCCCAGCAACGCCUUUCAACAAGGACUAGGGUUCCGUCGCUUUGGCCGGACCCUAGAGAGCUCCAACGGUGCGGAACACGUUCAUCGUCCAGAUCGCCGAGUUAGCCCAUAAGUCGCCCGAUUGGACUACCAAGUCGCCGACAUAAAGGAUAAGUCGUCGAGUUAGGGCCAAGAUCGGCAGUAUGGUAGACUGCACAUCUUGUCCCUGGAAACUCGGCGAGUUAGCCCUAACUAGGCGACUUCCAUACCUGAAUCGCCGACUUACGACCGUUACUCGGCCAUAGCCAACGUCAUAAAUGUUACCAUAUAUGACCAUAGGCGCGAUCUCCGCCUUUGAGUGCGCCCUCCGAGACCCUAUAAAAAGGGUCCCAAGGGGACACUCAAAGGCACGAUUCAAGUUCCUCUCUUACACCAGAGUACCACUAAGAAACUCAGCGAGUCUCACUAGAAUCGCCUAGUUUCUACUUGUAGGUAUUUGACGUAGAGCGCGCGUCGUGGACUCCAGAGCCUCCGGCAUCACCUCGCACCACCGCGAGCCCUGGUAGCAGAUUCAGUGCUUCAUCACUUCCAUAUCAAGGAUAGCUUGGAUUUUGUCGGGAUUAGGUUUGAUCCCGUGCUGACCUACAUAGAAACCAAGGAACCUGCCUUCCUUGAUUCCGAAUGCGCACUUCACUGGGUUGAGCUUCAUUCUGUAUUGCUUUAAUGUAUCAAGGGUUUCUCUCAGAUCAUCAGGGUGUUUUUCCAUGCUUGAUUUCUUGACUAGGAUGUCAUCGACGUAAGUGGAAACGUUGCGCCCAAUCUGGUUUGCGAAAACCUUGUCCAUCAAGCGUUGGAAUGUAGCCCCAGCAUUCCUUAAACCGAAUGGCAUUACUCUGUAACAGAAUGUCCCUGAGUCCGUGAUGAAGGAUGUUUUUUCCUCAUCAGGCUCAUGCAUCAGGAUUUGGUUGUAUCCUGAGUGGGCAUCCAUCAUAGAGAGAGCUCGUUACUGGAUGCUCCAUCGACUAGUUCGUCAAUAGAUGGCAACGGGUAACUGUCCUUGGGGCAUGCUUUAUUGAGAUCAGUGAAAUCAAUACACAUGCGCCACUUGCCAUUGGGCUUCUUGACAAGGACGGGGUUGGCCAACCAAGUCGGGUAUCGAACCUCCCGAAUGUGCCCUGCAUUCAGGAGUUUCGAUAUUUCCUCAUUGGCUGCCUCCCGCCUGUCAGAAGUGAGUACUCAACGUUUCUGGCGUCGAGCUGGAAUGGAUGAGUCGACGUUAAGUUUGUGCGUCACGAUCUGAUGCACAAUCUGUGUCAGUGCCUCACCCUCCCAAAUGAACCUGUCCUGGUGCUCCUCCAGGACAGUCACAAGCCUGGCUCUUAAGGCAGGGGGUAGCCCCUUCCCUAAUGCCACUUGUCCCCCUUCCAACUGAUAUACCUCAGUCUCGUCCACAGGUUGUAAUUUUUCCCUCUCCUCAAUGUCAGGUGGGGUAUGGACGAGCAUGUUGUUAAGCCUUGUCAGUUGGGUUGCCUUCUUAUACCCCUGUCUAGAAUCCUUUUGUGAUCCUUUGACAGUUGCAACGAACCCGUUUACUGGGUAUCGAAUGCAUUGGUGAUAAGAAGACGGGACUGCUUGGAUUACGUGGAUGAAGGGGCGUCCGAAUAUGCCAUGAAAAGUGGAUUCUACUUCCACUACUAUAAAAUGACACGUUCGGCUAACCCUCUCUCGCUUGGAACCGAUGGAGACUUUCAAAUCAAUAACAUCGGCCACUGGGGCGGCGAUGUUAGUGAAACCGUAGAUGGCUUCCUUACAGGGAGANNNNNNNNNNNNNNNNNNNNNNNNNNNNNNNNNNNNNNNNNNNNNNNNNNNNNNNNNNNNNNNNNNNNNNNNNNNNNNNNNNNNNNNNNNNNNNNNNNNNUCUCGACUCGGGAAUCGGGACCGAUGUCUGCUUGGAUCACGAGUGGGUCCUCGUGAGGCUGCAGGACAUCGUCCAGGUCCUCUUCGAAGAAGUAUAUUGACUUCUCCUCGCGGACCCGUUUUCCGUUGUCUCGAGGUAUUGAUUGUGACAUCAGCACCUUUCGGGCAUAUCCUCUAUUCUGGCCAACGGAUCCACCACCAAAUAUCAUAUUGAUGGUCUUCCGCUGGCGGUUCUCGCUGUUGUCGCUAUCUGGCGAAGGAGAGCGUGGACGCUUCCCCUUUGGGUCAGAUUUGCAAUUGUCCCGUCCUCGGGAUCUCUUGACGAAGUUGCCAAGUUCUCCCUUUGAGAUCAACUGCUCGACAAAAGACGAGAAUUCCCUGCAGUGGUCUGUUAGGUGGCCGCAGUCUUUGUGAAAUUUGCAGUAUUUCCCAGAUUGCGUGCGGCCCUCUUUGCCUGCAGGGUCUAAAAAACGAGGGGCAGGUAGAUCCGCUCGGUUCUUUAGCUUCUCAAACAGCUCGCCUUUGCUGAUUGUAAGCGGGGUAUUCCUUUUCCAUAGUGAAGCUGCACCCUUUGGCGGUUGGCUGGUUGAGGUUUGGUAUACCUUGUUAUUGUGCCUAGGCUUCCAUUCUUUUUUGGAAGUUUCAGCCCUGUUGUUGGUAUACCUGUUAGAGGUGUCGUGGAAAUUGUUGUUUCCACUGUACCCCUUCCUCUCAAACUUAGGCUUCUUGAAGCUAGGAGUCCCAAGUUCAGCUAGCUUGUUCUCAUCCUCCUCUUCCACUUCAAUGUAUGAUUGAGCGCGUUGGAAGAGGUCGGGUAGAGAGUUCACCUUGUAGAGGGUCAGAUUUUGGACCAGAGGGGAGUAGGGGACCAAUCCUCUGAUGUAUCCCGCUAUGGCCACACUUGGGAUCAGAUCAUUCACUUCUGUCAUCAUUGUUGUGAACUUGACCGUAUAAUCCCGCAGAGACAGCUUAUCCUGACGAAGUGCCAGAAGUGCGUUGGCACUGUGUUUAAUUCUUAUCAUCCCCACAUGCUGGGCGAUGAAUUUGGACGAGAGGUCUGCGAAGCUGGUGAUUGAGCCAGCUGGCAGAUCGGAGAACCAUCGAUAAGCACUGCCCUUGAGAGUGUCGGGGAAUGCCCGACACAACAGCCCAUCAUCGAUGGUUUGCGGUUCCAGGACGUUGAGGUAGAGAUUCACGUGAUCUUUUGUAUCACUUGAACCGUCAUACGCCUCAAUCCUGGGUACCCACCAGGUAGGUGGGAAAGAUUCCCUUAAAAGGUCCUCGCGAAGAGGAGCACUUUUAAUCCUCAGGAUCUCGUGCGGAUUGCCGACAGCUGGGUCGGUGGCCAGUUUCCGACGAAGAUCCUCUACAAACCGAGUGGUAAGAGUCCUUUCAGAGCGACUCUUACUGGGUCCCGUUUUAAGACGGGAUCUCUGUUUGGUUUUCUCCGCAGAUGGAGAUUAGAUGGACCCAGAUUCAUCCGCCUUUUCACGGAUGGUGGUGGUCCUUUGACUCCUCACUUGCUCGAGGUUAGUCAUCCUUCUUUCUAUGUUGUCCAUAAAACUGAACAACCUUUCUUCCAAGGUGGGUGGAGCCUUGGGCACUAUGUGUUCCUCGAUGUGUGGAGGAACCGAGUUUGUUUCAUCAGGUCGAGCAUUGUUGGGUCCCUUUGGUCGUGAUUGCUCGCCCUGCUCCAGCUCAGUUGCUGGCAUUUUUCCCUUACUUCUUGUGGCGUAAGGAUGCUUUUGCUUUUCGAUGAUGGCCAUGAAAACAAAAGCGGAGAAGUACCAAAGCGGGGAGGUGACCUGACAGAGCCUGUCGGAAAAACAAAAAAUAAGUCGGCGAGUUAGGGGCUAACUCGGCGACUUUUAGAUUUCGAGGUAUUUUCCGAACAAGGUCGUGGACAGCACUCUUAGCUAGCAGACGAUAUUCCGGAUCGGGCGAUUCUCAAGGAUAAGUCGACGAUUUAAGGCUAAAUCGGACCUGAACCGAGAAUCGGACGAUCUAACUCGGCGACUUUUUAACAAACUAGGCGAACCCUCUAGGAGAGCUCGAGCCGGAUUUUUAAAAAAAUCGCGAUUACGACGGGAUACCGGUGGUUCGGUAGUCCCACAGACGGCGCCUGCUGAUGAAGCACGUGAAUCUGCUACCAGGGCUCGCGGUGGUGCGAGGUGAUGUCGGAGGCUCUGGAGUCUACGACGCGCGCUCUACGUCAAAUACCUGCAAGUAGAAACUAGGCGAUUCUAGUGAGACUCGCCGAGUUUCUUAGUGGUGCUCUGGUGUGAGCGAGGAACUUGAAUCGUGCCUUUGAGUGUCCCCUUGGAACCCUUUUUAUAGGGUCUCGGAGGGCGCACUCAAAGGCGGAGAUCGCGCCUAUGGUCAUAUAUGGUAACAUUUAUGACGUUGGCUGUCGCCGAGUAACGGUCGUAAGUCGGCGAUUCAGGUAUGGAAGUCGCCUAGUUAGGGCUAACUCGCCGAGUUUCCAGGGGAAAGAUGUGCAUUCUACCAUACUACCGAUCUUGGCCUUAACUCGGCGACUUAUCCUUUAUGUCUGCGACUUGGUAGUCCAAUCGGGCGACUUAUGGGCUAACUCGACGAUCUGGACGAUGAACGUGUUCCGCACCGUAGGAGCUCUCCGGGGGUCCGGCCAAAGCGACGGAACCCUAGUCCUUGUUGAAAGGCGUUGCUGAGAGUGACUGCCGUAAUCAGGCAUGUCUCACCACUUCUGCUGGGAGGUCAUGAUCUUACCCAAGAAAAAAGGAGGGUUAGGAUUAAGAUAUUUUAGGAAAUCCGCGAAAGCGGUUGCUAUUAAAAGAUUACAUUAUUUAUGAAAUUGCGAUAACUCUAUAUGGUCUUCUUGAAUGAAAGACAAGUAUAUACAAGGAUGGAGCAUGGACAAUAUAAGCAAGAGGAAACAUGCGAACUCAGGUAUUUGGGUUGAAUUGCUCGACACGACAGGUAACUUUGGUGAUAUAUUUAAAUGCGAUACUAAUUAUUCUUAUGUUUGGACUACGGCAGGACAAAGCUUCUCCUACAAAAACGCUUGGAAAUCAGUAAGGUCCAAAGGGUAGGUGGACAACCUAGAUGAGGGAAUAUAAGUAUCCAACAUUCUCAAGUACGAUAUGAUGACCCUAUAGAGAGAAAAUUGGAAGCGGAUCACAACCAACACAGAAAUGGCUAGGAGGGAUACCUUAGAGAACAUUGAUUGUUGGCUAUGUGGAAGACAAGAAGAGUCAUAGAAUCCUUUGUUUUACCUUUGUGACUACGCAUCAGAUAUAUGGAGGUACUUCAGAGAGAAGUUGUCGGAGGUUGUGGACGAGCAAGACACAUAUUAAACUGUAAUACCUCGCUAAGGUGUCGGUCGACGGAAGAUAGUUCCCAGAGUGGGCCGGAGGUUGGAGGACGGAAAUUCUCCCUAAGGAGCCAGAGACAGAGAGUUGUUUUGGUUUAAUAUUGGAUGCUCAGCCAUAUCCUUCAUUCCAUUUAUUUAUAGUCGUUCAAAAAUAUAAAAUGGAAAUAAUAAUUGAAACGGAAAUAAUAAUUUUUAAAAACUAAGGAUUUGAUUGUGCCUGUCACCGAUUCUACCAAUCAAUAAUACACGAAAUUGGGAUCGUAUUUCCCUUUCUAAAUCCUGACGGUCUAUGCUUGUGAUCCCUCCGAAAUGGAAUCUUCUAGAACAACUUCCUCGAUAGCCAAGUCUUCUUUCAAAUGACGUAUUACUUCUUCCAUAUUCAGCCCAAUUGUAACAUCCCCUACUCCAUCAGUUUUAACCUUGUCCUCAAGGUUAGUAGAAGGCACCAAUCUAGAAAUGGUGUUGAUAUCCUCCCACGUUUUUCAUCGGGGUCCAACUCCAUCCAUUCAACUAGUACUUGCCCAAUUUUCUUAUCUUUUCUUUUAAUCACUCGGUAAGCCAAAAUUUGAUGCGGAAUUAAUUACUACCAGGUGUGAUUCAGUGGUCAAUGGAGGUAUUGUAACGCCCGACUCCGAUAGUCUGUCACCUUUGAACUCCUUGAGUAAGCCGAUGUGAAAUACCGGAUUUUUUUUGCAUUCCGGGGGUAAAGCCAAUCAAUAUGCCACAUUGUUAAUUUUUUUCUCUACCAAGAACGGCCCGUAGAAUUUCAUAGACAAUUUCUAAAAUUUUCGCCGCUCGACGGAGUGUUAUCGGUAUGGAUGGAGUUUAAGCCAAACCCACUACCCCACUUGAAAUUCGUGGAAACGACGCUUGAGGUCUACAUAUUUUUUCAUUCGUGCUUGAGCUUCCUGCAAAUUCGUCUGCAAUUCUUUCAACAUUUUCUGUCGAUCGGUCAGUAUUGUGUCUACUGCCUCGACCCUAGAGUCUCCGGAUCGGUAAUCCAUGAUUUCUGGGGACGGUCGCCCAUAGACUUCUUGGAACGGCGUGGUCUUGAUGUUGUGGUGAUAAGGCUAUAUAUUAUACCAUAGUUCCGCCCAGGGAAGCAGUUCUGGCCAGGAACGCAGAUUUUGCUGGAUCGUCGCUCUGAGAUACUGCUCGACAGUCUUGUUCGUAAUCUCCGUCUGGCCAUCUGUUUCGGGAUGGUAGGCCGAUAACAUUCUCAGUGUGGUGCCGCUCCGAGUAAAUAGUUCUUGCCAAAAUUUACUCAAGCAAACUCUAUCGUGAUCGGAUGUGAUGGUCUUAGGAAUUCCGUGGAGUCUUAGGAUUUGGUUCAUGAAAUAUUCCUUAACUAAGGCUGCUUUGUAACCCGUUGUUAACGCCCCCAAGUGAUAAGCAUUUAAAUGGUAUACCAGAAGCUGAAUUCAGAUACCUGAAUUGAUAUCCGGAUUUUAUUCGGACGGGUUCGGAUAUCCGGAAAAUCCAUCGUUAAAAUAUGAAUUCGUUUAAAAAUUCUGGAUUCGGAUAUCCGAAUAAAUAUAAAUUGACUUUCGGAUAUCCGGAUUUUAGGAUCAUUAAUUGAUUAUUAAUUAACUUUAUUAAUGGUGAUUUUAUAUUUUUAUAAUUUUAUUUUAAGAUUUUUAUAAAAAGUUAUCUGGAUUCGGAUUCAAAUUUUCAUAUCCGGAUUUUAUUCGGUCGGAUUCGGAUAUCCGGAUCAUUAUUCAGAUUCGGAUACCUGCAUAUCCGAAUCCGAUCGAUAUACAGGCUUACCAAGUGACAAUACUUGGUUAGUCGGUUGACGACCAUAACGAUUACCGAUUUUCCUCCCACCGAUGGCAACCUAAUUACGAAGUCAAUUCUGACAUCUUCCCAAAUGGCUGUCGGAAUCGCGAAUAGUUUUAGAAGCCUGCGGGGUUUGAGAGGCGGCAUUUUCACCUGUCACAUUUGACAAUUCCCAAUACCUUUAUAUCACGAUUCAUACCUUCCCAGAAAAACAUUGAACGGACACACUCCAAUGUGCUAAAAAAUCAUGAGUGUCCUCCUAAUCACGUGUUGUGAAGGUCUGUCAAGAUUACCAUCCGUAGGGGUGAUGUGGGCCUGAUGCAGAAUUGCCCUUUGAAAGAAAAAGUUCCUUGUUUAAUUCGAAUCCUUCCCUGGACGUUUUGUCGAGGAUUUGCUGUCGUUUCUUAAUCAUCCAAGUGUCGAUCUCAUUUUCCUUCUUGAGUUGGGCUUCCCAAUCGAGAAUUAAGGCUGUCGACAUCGCGUGUAACUGGGUCGUUGCUUCCUCACUGCUGGUGAUAUAGAGAGAGCGUCGGUGGCUCCAUUAUCUUGACCUCUUUUGUAUAUAAUAUUAUAUUUAUAUUCCAAAAGCUUGGUUAGGAAGAAUUGUUGUUCUGGUGUCUGUAUGGUCUGACCCAACAAGGUCUUCUGACUCCGGUGGUCGGUGCAUGUUGUAAAAUCGUUGCCCCACAAAUAGUGUCGUCACUUAUGUACCAUGUCGGUGAUCGUCCACAGUUCCAUGGAAUAAGUAGAUGCUUUCUGCCGGAGAGGAGACAACUUCUUGCUAUAAAAUGUAAUUGGGUGUUCGUUCUGCAGUAGAAUAGCCCCGACGCCUACGUCGCAUGCAUCUUUUUCAAUCACGAAAGGUAAUGAGAAAUUAGGAUAAACUAAGAAUGGUGUCGUAGUUAAUUUCUCUUUCAAUAUAUGUUGAAUGCGGUAAACCCCACUGGAAUCCAUCCUUCCUCAGUAGAUCGGUCAAAGGAGCUGUCGAUUGAGCGUAUUUCUCAAUAAAUCGUCGGUAGUAGCUCGUGAGCCCCAAAAAAGCCCGUACGUGUUUUACUAUCUUGGGUUGAGGCCAUGACUUAACCGCUUCUAUCUUCUCUGGGUCGGGCCGGACUCCCGUAGCUGAAAUAAUGUGGCCGAGGUAGGUUAAGCUUGACACCCCAAACUCACAUUUAGAAGCCUUGAUGUAGAAACAAUAUUGUUUUAAUUAUAAUUCCAGAACUACUCCUAAGUAUUAAAGAUGUAUCUCCCUGGUCUUGCUAUAGACUAGAAUAUCGUCAAAGAAGACAAUCACAAAUUUUCUCAAUAAUUCUUCAAAGAGGUGGUUCAUGGUAUCUUGGAAUGUUGCAGGUGUAUUGGUGAGACCGAACGGCAUAACUAAAAAUUCAUAAUGACCAUAAUGGGUACGAAAUUAAAAGUCGUCUUUUCAGUGUCGUUUUCCGCGAUCCUUAUUUGGUGAUAUCCUGCUCGAAGAUCAACUUUUGAGAAAAUUGUAGCCCCGUCCAACUCAUCAAGAAGCUCGUCCAUGGUAGGUAUUGGGAAACGAUCCCGGACUGUGGUCGAAUUUAAUGCACGAUAAUCCACACAAAACCUCCUUGAUUCGUCCUUCUUGAGCACUAGUAAUACUAGGGAGGAAAAUGGGUUGACACUGUGGCGGUUUGGCGGAUUAGUCCUUGCUUGAGCAUCUUCUCAGUCAACCUCUCAAUCUCUGACUUUUGAAAAUGGGGGUAGCGGUAGGGAUGGACAUUGAUGGGGUUUUGUUCCUGGAUUUAAUAAAAUGUUAUGAUUAAUGGGUCUCCAGUGUGGUAGGCCUACGGGCUCUUGCAUGAUUAACGAAUAUUAUAUUUCUUUAAAACUUGUAGUUCGGCCCAAGGCUCCUGAACCGACUGGGCUAUUGUUGGAUCGGCCCGUAGUUGACAAAAAUAUGCAACCUCCACACGACCCAUCAACGUUUUUAAACCCCGUUCGAAAUCUGGUCUGGUGCGUUACUCUGUAUGCAUAUUGACUUGCCUUGAUGUUGAAAUUCCAUCGUCAGUUGUUUAUAGUUACAUGUCACCGCCCCUAGGAUCUCCAACCAUUGUAUGCCCAACACAAUGUUGGCGCCCUCCAUAUAUAGCCAACACAUACAAAUCCUCGUUCAUGGUCAACUCCUAAAUUGUUAACUUUACCUUACGACAUACUUCCCGGCAGACGAGAUACUUUGCCACUACCAAUAAAGACUUUGAAUUCCUUGAGUGAUUGUAGUCCAAUCCCCAGCUUGUAGGCUACCGAAUCCUGAAUAAAGUUAUGAGUCGAUCCACUGUCGAUGAGUAUUGUGAGAUCCCGACCCCUGACCGUUCCUUUUAACCUCAAUGUUCUCGAAUUGAAAGUCCCCACUAAGGCUUGGAGACUUAUCUUGGUUGUUCCCUCUUCCAUCGCUACCUCUUCCACAUGUUAUUCCUCCUUUGGCGGUUCCUCGCACAUUUCGACUAAACAACCUUGUUGAUCAGUAUCAAUCCGAAAAGUCUCCCUUUGCAGUGGUGUUCCGAGGCGUAGGCUUCAUCGCAGUUGAAGCACAAGCCUUUUGUUGUCUGAAUUCGCCUCUCCUCAACUGUUAAUGUCUUUCGCACAAUGGGCACAACCUUGGGCACCUCUGGUGGGGUCUUGAGUAACGGACCCAGAUUAGCUAUUGUACUCUGCUGGUAUGAUUUUCGCCAAGACACUACAAGAAAAAGGCUUAUUUGGUCGCAAAAAGGCAUAAGUUGGUCACUUAUAGAAAAAAACGACCAGUUUUUUGAUCGCCACGUUAGUCGCAAGAAACCCCGUCAAUAGUGAUCUAUAAGCGACCAACUUUUUGAGUUGGUCGCUUGAAAGUGGCCAACUGGGUUGGUUGCUCAAUAAAUCUAAAUCAGACCAAAUUUUUGGCGCCAACAUAAGGGCGACCAACUUGGUUAGUCCCAAAAAUUUGGCGCCAACAAUAAGUUGGUCGCAAAAAUUUGGCACCAACAUUAGGGCGUCCAACUUGGUUAGUCUCAAAAAAUUGGCACCAACAUAAGGGCGACCAACUUGGUUGGUCCCAAAAUAAGGGCAACCAACUUGGUUAAUUGGUCCCAAAAAAUUGGCGCCAACAUAAGGGCAACCAACUUGGUUGGUCCCAAAUAUUUGACGCCAACAUAAGGGCGACCAACUUGGUUGGUCCCAAAAAAUUGGCGCCAACAUAAGGGCGGCCAACUUGGUUGGUCGCAAAAGUUGUCGCUUUAUACUAUAGGCGACUAAUUUUAAAAGUGGUCUUAAAAAGUCAAAUAUAAGGCUAGAGUUGGUCAGAGAAAGGCUCCUUUCUUGUAGUGAUCGUAUUAUGUAUUUGAAGUUUGAACUAUUCUAUGUAUUUUGAUAAUUGAUAUAGAUAUAUAAAAAAAUAUAUGAAUUUCCUUUAGUUUUAUAUAUAUUAAUGAAAAUGUCAUUGACGCAUCUGUGCGCAUAUGCGUGUAUGCUCAAGUGCUCUAGGUGGUGGCGCAUCCGGAACCAUGAUGGAGAUAGGGGUCCCCCUGCCUUAAUCUUUUGUUUGACCCAAUCUGCUUGUUUGGGAUAUCAUUUAUUAAGAAUGUUAAUGACGUAGUGCUGACUAGCAUCAUGCAUUAUGUGCUAAAUCUUAGUGCUAUAAGAGUAGUUUUUAGGGAUUUUCAGCUACAUGUAUCGAAUGUCUUUCUUAGGUAUGGCUUGAUUGUUGCAUUUGUCCUGCCUGUUGAUUUUCCAAAAUCUAUGACCAUUUCAGUGGCCAGUAGAAAGUUGUCUCCUUGGUAGGAUCGAAGGUUGUUUGGUUAGAGUUAAUUACAUCUUUUACACGUCUACUAGUCUGUUUGUGAUUAUUUUGGAUAACAUCUUGUAUAUUAUGUUUAUACACGAUAUUGGUCUGAACUGAUCCAGUGAUGAUGCAUUCUUGAAUUUUGGUAUGAGGGUUACAAAGGUAUCGUUCACUUGUCUGAGCAAAUUAUCCUCAAGAUAUAUUGAUUGAAUGACCCUAACGAGGUCUGUCUCUAUUGUGCCUCAAAACAAUUUAAAGAAUGCUCCAUUGAAACCAUCCGACCCUGGGCUCUUGUUUGUGUUUAGGUGGGAUUACCAGUCAGAGGCAGAGCUACAGUGUAGCGAGGGAAAGUUUUAGGAUUUUUCGAGGGUAUGUGUGUAAUUAAAAUAAAUAUAGGGUUAAAAAUAUAAAUUUUACAUAUUUUUAAUAUAAUUUCAUUUAAACGCACUCUUCUUCCUCUAUUCUUUAUCUUCAAAAUUUUAAAUCCCUAUAUUUUUUUUCCAACCUCAAUCUCUAAAUCCCCAAAAUCUUCUGUAAAAUUUUAAUUUUUAAAAAAUUAUUUAUCGAUGUAUUUUGUUAGACUAUUAAACUUUAUAUUUGUUUAAAUAAAUGUGGAUGUAUUUUGUUAAACUAUUUAUUUAAAUAAACAGGUUUUCUUCUAUAUUUAUUUUUUUGGGAAAAUUUUAAUUAAAGUCUGAAAAAAAAAUUCCACCUCCGGCAAAAGAACUCUGUUACCCCCAAAACAAAUUUCUGAUUCCACCACUUACCAGUUACCACCUUCUUGAUUUUUUUUAUAGUUGAGGACUCUCACAAGUUCAGUGUUUUGUUCAGGACUCCAAGUGUUACCACCUUCAGUGUUUUUUUAAACUCUUUUAUUCAAUAUAAAGUAAGAGUGAGAAUGGGGCGGGCUUCCGUUCCGCGACCCGGUGGUAACCGGGGACGGGGCAGAAUAUAUGCCCCGUUUUCCAUUUGUUGCCCCGGUCAUAUUCCGGAGCGAGUCUCGGGUCAGGGCGAAACCCAGGCGGGUCGCCCCGGUUUAAAAAUAAUAAUUUUUUAUUAUAUUAUAUUAGAUAUAAGAUUAUUAAAACUACAAAUUUUAAGAAUUAAAGUAAAAAGUUUACCCAUUUUAAAUUUUAGGUUUACUUUUUUAAUUAUUUUUUUAUAAUUUUUUAUUUUUAUAAUUCCAGGCAGGUCUCAGUGCGGGGAAGUAGGGUGUCUGAGCCGCCCCGUUCCGCCUCCCGUUUAGAGUGAGUUGUGUUUGAUGGAAGUAGGUCUUACUCCUCUUAUCACGUGUGCCUGCAGAGUAAGGGGGCAUAAGCCACACUUCGAAUUGUAGGUGUUCAGAAGCUUCCAUAAGUGUGUGUUAUGAUCCAAGUCCCCCUUAUCACGUGUGUUUGCAGAGUAGGGGGCAUAUGCCACACUUCAAACUUCAGGGUCUUGGUAGUGUAGUUUGGUGUAUCUGAUGGGAAAAUGCCCUACUCCUCUUAUCAUGUGUGCCUGCAGAGCAGGGGGCAUAAGCCACACUUCGAGUUAUAAGUACUCAUGUACUCCGAUCCCACCAAUGCAAAUUGAAAGAUAUAUGAAUUGAAAUCACAAUUACGAGUGUAAUACAAUAUGCCAUUUCAUGUAUUCUAUUAAGUUAAGUAAUGAUAUUUCAUUCAUGUAGACAUGAUGUUGUAGAUAGAUUAACAUCGAGCAUAUAUUUAGCAUUUCAUUCAAUAUCUCAAGUUUAUUAGCAUGGAAUGUACAAAUAAUUAGCAUGGCAUGUAUGCAGUUCUGUAGAGGCAUUAACAAGAAGCAUGCAUUUCAUAUUGUGGGCAUGGCAUGCAUGAUGUUCUAGAUAAAUCUGUGUAGAUAGUUGAUUAAUCAGUUACUAAUUAAAUCAGAUAGUUUUAGACAGUUACAAAUUAAAUGCUAAUCAGAUUUAUGUUGAUCGAUGUUGCAUGCUAGAUUUUAUUAGGGGUUAAUGGUUUUAGGUUGCAUGCAAGUAAGUCUGAUAAGAGAGAUAUAUGUAUUUUUAUCUAGUUGUUAUUAUCCCUAAAUCCUAGGGUACAAACCUUGCCCCUUAGGGUUUUUGAGACGAGGAUGUCGGAGCCUGGUCGAAGACCUGAUCUGAGAUCUUGAGCGGAGAGCGAGUGUCCUAGUGAUCAGCCAGAGUAGAUCUGAGUCUGGAAGCCCAGAUAUGCUCUGAUACCAUGAAGAAUCUGAUAACUGAGGAGGCGUGAGACCGGAGGCCUCGAUGCACGUAAGCGAGGAGAGAAGAAAUGAAGGUGAGGAGUACGUUGAGAGUUGGCCGGCAGAGCCGAUUUUCGGAUAUAUAUUGAUCGAUCGAGAAAACUGAAUUACAUAGUGUGGAAGUUUAAGAGGAAAGACGAUCUCUAGGGUUUCUAGGGUUUCAGAGAAAAAUAUUCAAAAGUUAAUAUUGUCGGCAUUAAGAUAUGCCUUAUAUACUAGGGUUGUGAACUUGUGAUAAGUUUAUCACUGAUGAACUGAGCCAAAUUAUUGCUGGGUGGUCUAAUAUAUAGACCUUAAUACUCUCUGUGGAACAUUUCAGAUUCGUGAUGUCCUCCGUCUUCAGCAAGUUCCCGAGAGUACGUACGGAAUCCCUCCUUCAUGACCUGUUACUAGUAUGAUGUAGAGUAGGAGAAAAUUACAUUAGGAUGUAUAGUAGCUUUACAAGUGUCACUUCAAAACUCUGUCUUUUUUUAUAUCAAAUCAACUAUAUUUUCCUAGCGUUAACAUACCCACAAAGUGAAACCCAAAUAUCUCUCCAAUCUCAAAACGCACUCUCGACGGAGAUUUUCUCAAGAAACCCUAGUUGAACGGUUUCGUUUUAUCGAGCAGACGCGUCCAUUGAAGAAGGUACGAACGAUUUCUAUUUCUAUUUAAACCGUUGUUCUAGUCUCGUGAAACUUGUUUAUUGGGUUCGGCUACAUCUUUGUUUUGGAACGAAACAGGGUGCUCGUUCGACUGAAGUUUUAUAAAGAAGAGAGGUGUUUCAUUCUAAGAACAAGGUAUGUUAUUCAAAUAUUUUCAAACUUGUGGAUGUUCUAUAUCUACAUUGCAGUUUGGAGGAUAUUUUUUAGAAAAUCAUUUGAUGGGUUCCGUAACUUCAGUUGCAUCUCUGUUUUGAACAGAAUAGGAAAGUUGGUCUGCUCAACUUUAAUUAAGAAGUGAGGUGUUUUUUUCAGAGAAGAAAGGUACGUUUUUUUAGAGUUAUUUUAACUGUUAGAUGUUUGAAUUCUACAUUACAGUUUGAACGAUAUAUUUUAGACCAUCGAAUUUGUUGAGUUUUCAGUGAUUUUGUAAAAAUAAAAACAAAAAGAAAUGUCUUUGUCCAAUGAUUCUAGCGAUCUCCGAUCAUCUCAAAUACAAUUAACUCAACCAAGAAGAGAUGAAAUAGGAGAUGCCGACGGUUUAAUACUCUUUCUUUUUUUUAAUUUGUGCGACUAAAUCAUUUGUAAUUAAAAAAUUAGUACUAACUGUCUAUGUUUGUAGGCGACAUCGACAUUGAAUUUUCACUUGCCAAGGGCGACAGAAGAGUGGUGAAGGCUAAGAGAGAGAGGACUGAAAAUAAUCUCCACAUUAGUGAGUAUUUUUAUUGAAUUAUUUAUUUUGUCGUUUUUUUCGUUUAAAAUAUAUGUGUUUUUUCUCCCGUCAAUGAUUUGAUCAUACAUCGUUCGAGUAUUCCAACUUAUGUUGAUGUUGUCCGAAAGGGCAAAAUAAAAUUCCCAAGAUCAAAUGUGCGGAAAUUGAAGGACACGUAUUUUGGAGCAUUUGUUGAGAUGAUGGAUUUCCCCAUCAAAUCUAGAUUGUUAGACGACUUGGUUGGAGCUUGUGUCGGAAAUUACUGUUUUGAAAUAAAAGACAAGAAAAUGAAGGUUUCUGUUAAAGAAAUUGGGGAAAUUCUGGAGAUUCCAUGUGAAAGACUGCCAAUUAAUAUGAAGCCUAAGGCCAAACCAACUAGCGAAUGGGCCAAUAGGUAUUCAUCACUAAAUCUUGAUCUGAAGAGAGAUGUGAUUAGUAGUACGAUGAGUUCGAUUUUGGAGAAGAAAAAAGAAAUGGAUGACGAAGAUUAGAAUGACAUAGUAAGACUGUGGAUUAUAUUUUUUUUUAUUACAAUCCUAGGCUGCAAAAACAGUUAUAGGAUUGGAAAAAAAGUGCUCGACUAUGUCGACAACUUAGGCUACCUGGAAGAGUACAAUUGGGGUGCUUAUAUAAGAGAUGUUUUAUUCCUGAAGACAGAUAAAUGUCGUGACAGUAUCCUCCAUCGAAGACAUAGUGCAUCUAAAGAAUAUUUGGAUGGAUGUAUAUUUGUUUUGAUGGUAUGUUAAAUAUUUAAUUUUUUUUUAAUAAUGUCAAUUUUGUUUAUAAUUAUUGUAUUUCACUCGUAAAACAAUUAAGUGUGGUUGUACAAACACACAAUGAUUGCGAAACAGGACGAGGUCUACGUGGAAUUUGAACCAUACUUCAAAAAAUGGGGUGGUGAUGUUGUUGUUCUGAGGACAUCAUUGACUGAUUUGAGGCCUAGUGAGGUACAUUUGUGUCUAUUGAAUGUGGUUUUGUAAGGUAGUAGUGGUAAUAUUGGUUUUAUGACAUGUAUGCUAUAGGUAUUUUCAAAUGACAUUCCCUUGAAAAAACGAAUGUCACUUGCGAGGGAUAUGGAGGCUCAGUCCUCAGAAGAAUAUAAUAAUACCUGGAUGUUGUGGAUGAUGGAUCAAAUUCUAGCGCAAGAUCUGAUUCAAGUGAUUCUAAUGAUGAGAAGAAAAAGAAAAUGAUUGCAAAGGGGAAGAAACCUAUGGUUGAAGCGAAAAAGAGUAAGAAAAAUACAAGUAAUGAAGGUAAUGUUGUGAAAACUAAAUGUCUAGUAAGUGUGGAUGCUACUAUGAAAACUGAUAAAGAGCAACUGAGGAAAUUGGUGAAGAUGAAAUCAAACAAAAAAAAGAAAAGUGUGCAAUCGUCAGUACGUCGUAGUUAAAGACUAUCACGUGGUAGAUCUGAGAGUACUGGUAACUUAAACACGGAGGAGAGAAAUGUGAAGAAAAUUAAGAAAGCGAAAGAAUGUAAGAAAGUGUGAUUUAAUAAUGAAGAAACAACUGUAAAGGAAGGUAAAAAUAAAUUUUGAAAUUUGUAAAUGAAUCUUGCUUUAGGUUUAGGUUGUGGUCAGAGAAGUUGCAAUUUAUUAACCAGAAGUUUAUGCAUGGCUGAAAAAAAAUGUUGAUGAUAAGACUGAAGAUGAUGGAAAAAAGGAGGCAGAGAAAAAGGAGCAACAAAUUACCUACCAAUGAAAAAAGUAAAAGAAAAACUCUAUAUAACUUGGGAACUGAAAAUUAAGGAUAAUGGUAACAAAGCUAGUGCAAGUACAUCUAACGAAGUUGAUCUUACAUUAGAAGGUAAAAAAAAAUUUAAUUUUGUUACUGAUUUGUUUUUCAGUUGCUAAUAAUCUAUUCUUCUUUCAUUUUGAUGAAGAUAAUUGCAAUCCGAAUAUAAAUGAGUCAAAGUGUCCGAGGAAGUAGAUUAAAUUUUUAAGAAUAUCUUUUCUCGUAUUAUUCAAAACAACUUUUUCUUUACAACAUUUCAAUUUCAGUUGUUUUCCAAAAACUUUAUGACAUUUUGAAACCAAAAUCAAACACUGUAGUUUUGAACAUUUUCAAUGUGAUAAUCAACUUUGAAAUAGUUUAUAUGAACUGCUAUUAUGUAUUAGUAAGUGUAAUGUACGUAGUGCAUGACUAAAUGCUAUAAUAUGACCUGAAAAUGCUGGGACACGAGAGAUGAAUGGUAAGUUCAACUAUGAUUUAUUUCUGUAACACUAGCAUUUGUCAAAUAAAUUCUAAUAACAUCUUUCCACAGAUAUUUCUGAAUUCGAAAAAAUUCCAAGUUUUCUAUCGUCACAAAAAGAUCCUGCCUUUCUGGACGAAGCAUGUGUUAUGGCAGAUGAAGCUGAAAAAGCAAAAAUAUUUUUAAAAAAGAUGAGAGACUUAAAUAAAGGUAACAACAUAUUAAAAAUGAGGAAAGAUUUUGAAGCCAGAGAGGGAGGCCAAGGAAAUCGAAAAAACACUUGUAAAACAAGUGGUAACAACAAUUAUUGACAGUGACGAUGAGCUAGACAAUAUCCCAAUUUCAUCUAGACAACAUGGACAACCUGUGAGGCCGAAACCAAGCUCUAUAGUGAAACGGAUUAAAGAACGAUAAGUUAUGAAAUAUGUAAUAUUCACUUAAUAUACGUAAAUUGUAAUAAAAUGUUAUUUUCGUAUAUAGGUAAACCAAGUCAGAAGAAAACAUGACCUCAUCUUAAAGGAACAAGUUGACCUUAAUAAAUUGUCACGCCGUAAAAUCAGCAAAGACGAGCAUCUAGAGUUAAACAAGCUAAUAGAAAGGGCAGCAUUAGAUGGAAUGCUCACACUAGACAACGUCUCAUGCGAUUCAGAAUCUUUGAUAUCUAUUACUGACCACAUGCCAAUAAAGGGACCGGUAUAUAUUCCUUCGAUAAAUGAUAUAAAAAUUAUAAAUAAGUUUUUUGUUCUUAUUUGAAAGUACGACAUACUUCGGUGCAGUGUAUCUCUAUGUUUAUACAGGUUCUGAAGAAGAAGAUUGUAUGUGACCAUAUGAGACAUGGAAUAGUCAAAUUCUUGCACCCAAUCCAAAUGGUAUGAUUUUACAUACAUUUACUUUGUAAUAUUAGAAAUCGAAAUUGUAAUGGUAAAAUGUAAAAUGAGUGAUGCAGAAAAAAUGUCACGGUAAUCCUCCGAAUAAACAAUUGAAUGAUAAUGAAUGGUUAAAAUUGAAUCAAAAACCUAGAUGGGGAUAACGAAGACUGGACUAAAAUCGAGAAAGUAUUGGUCCUCAUUAAGAGACAAAGAGUAUGACAUUUAAUAUUUCUGUGCAUUUGCACGAAAACAUUUUAUCACUACUCUCUUUUCCGUAAUUUGGAACCUUUGAACAAACAAUUUGCAGACUGCGUAAGUUCUAUAACUUGGAAUGUCGACAUUAUUUAAUCGAAUUUCAAAAAUUUAUACAUUUAUUCAAUGCAGGUACUAUGGCUGAAUCACUACAUUAUGAACGUGUAUUCUGAUCAUCAUAAAUCGCAUUGGUUAACGUGACAGGUUGAAGAUUUUCCCUAGGCAUCAUUCAAGAAAACUCAAGACAGCGGAGUCUAUGUUCUCAUAGCAAUGAAUUACAUAGUUAUGAGAGACACCGUGCUCUUGAGUAGAAAAGAUGUGGAUCAAAUGGCUAACAAGAUCGUAUAUGACAUUCUUCGAGCUUCUCUUCUCAAUGUUAAUUGCUACCUAUCGUACAAGCAAAGAGCUUAGUAUGUGUCUGUAAAAAUAUUAUCAAUUGGGAUGACUACAAGUACAAUGUUUUGUUAGGAAAGGUACAUCGCUAAGUAUAUGUUUUAUCAUUAAAAACUUUUUGUAAUAGCAUUACUACCAUAGUAGAACGCAUUAGUUCGACAACGUAACAUAACAUGGCAAAGGUAGCAUCUCAUGUGAUCAUUGCAUGUGGUUGUAUAAGCAUUAUUGAAGUACAGAUCGACAUCCCAUGUUAUCAUGUGCUAGACCACGAAAUAAUACUACCAUGUACUCAAAAUAGCAUUAUAGCAAGGGCGAUCAACAUAUCAUGUGAUCAUGUGCAAGAGUACCAACUAAUAAUUUGGUCCAAAUAAAGAAUAGCAUUACAAUAAGUCGUAUGAGCAUCUCAUGGUAUCAUUUGCAAAAUAACUGAAUAAUAAUAGCAUUAGUAAUGUAGUUGCACGCACUAUCAAAAUCUUGGUCUCUGAUCAUUGCGCAAAACAUUUAACAGCAUUACAUUCAGUCGCAGAAGCAUCUCAUGUGAUGAUUUCCAAGAUAACCAAGUAAUAAUUGCAUUAGUGGUUCAUUUGCAAGCACUAACAAAAUCUUGGCCUCUGAUCAUUGCACAGACACAUAAUAGCAUUGCAAUCAGUCGUAGAAGCAUCUCUUGUGAUCAUUUGCAAGAUAAUCAAGUAAUAAUAGCAUUAGUAGCUCAGUUCCACGUAUUACCGAAAUUUUUUAUCUGAUCAUUGCGUAAUGACAUAAUAGCAUUACAAGCAGUCUUACAAGCAUCAAAUGUGAUCAUUUACAUAAUAACCAAGUAAUAAUAGCAUUAGAAGCUCAGUUCCACGCACUAACAAAAUGUUGGGUAUGAUCAUUGCACGAUCUCAUAAUAGCAUUACAAUAAGGCUAAGAAGCAUAUCAUGUUAUCAUUUGCAUGAUUACAGAUUACUAAUAGCAUUAGUAACGUGGUUGCACGCACUAUCAAAAUCUUGACUUCUGAUCAUUGCACAAACAUGUAAUAGCAUUACAUUCAGUCGUAAAAGCAUCUCAUGUGAUCAUUAGCAAGAUAACCAAGUAAUAAUAACAUUAGUAGUUCGGUUGCAAGAACUAACAAAAUCUUGUAUCUGAUCAUUGCGCAAACACACAAUAGCAUUACAAUCAGUAGUAAAAGCAUCUUUUGUGAUCAUUUGCAAGAUGACCGAGUAAUAAUAGCAUUAGCAACUCAUUUCCACGCAUUACCGAAAACUUGUAUCUGAUCAUUACACGAACACAUAAUAGCAUUACAAUCAGUCGUAGAAGCAUCUCAUGUGAUCAUUUGCAAUAUAACCAAGUAAUAAUAGCAUUAGUAGUUUCAGUUGCAAGCACCAAGAAAAUCUUGGCUUCUGAUCAUUGCGCAGACACAUAAUAGCAUUACAUUCAGUCGUAGAAGCAUCUCAUGUUAUUAUUUAUAAGAUAACCGAGUAAUAAUAGCAUUAAAACUCAGUUCCACACAUUACCGAAAACUUGAAUUUGAUCAUUGCGUAAUGACAUAAUAACAUUACAAGCAGUCUUAUAAGCAUCUCAUGUGAUCAUUUGUAUGAUAACCAAGUAAUAAUAACAUUAGUACCAAGGUUUAAUAGCAUUAACAUCGUAGUUGCACGCACUAACAAAAACUUGUAUCUGAUUAUUGGGUAAUGACAUAAUAACAUUACAAACAGUCUUACAAGCAUCUCGUGUGAUCAUUUGCAUGAUAACCAAGUAAUAAUAGCAUUAGUAGCUUGAUGAUACCCUCAGAAUUCACGACAAGCGAGUCGAAAUUAGGUUCAUUAUUCAAAACUAAAUCAGCAACUGUUUCAAGGGGAAUCGCCGACUCAACCCCCGGAGUCGUUGAUUCAGUCUGAUGAGUCGACGACUCGUAGCGUAUACUCGACGCUUCCGGGUCGUCAGUAAGCUUUUCCCUUCUCCUCUUGAACACGGCUUUCUUCUUAAGCCCCUUCGGAAUCGGCGACUCCACAAAGGGAAUCGUCGAUCCAGGAGCGGGCCCAUGCAUGAAUCUCGCCCUUCUCAAGAACAACCUCGGGCACAGUCUCAAGAGCCUUGUCUGGAAUCGUCGACUCCGUAGAGGGAAUCGACGACUCAGGCAAAGGCCCAAGCAGUUCAUGCACCAAGGCACUCAUAUUAUCGUCUGCGGAUGGAACAACCGGAGUCGUCGAUCCAGCCUCCCUGGGAGGAGACGGAAGCGGCGACUCGACGGUGUUCAGCACCCCGACGAGGUUCUCCCCGGCCAUCUCGUUGAUCAUCGCAUCUGUCUCGGCGUCCGAGAGGCGGGGAACGUUAGGACUUGUUCUGGCCAUUCCUGGGAAUCGUUGAUUCACAAGAAAAGAAACUGAGGAAUCGGCGAUUGAAGGAUCUAGGGUUUUAGGCGAUUCGAGAAUUGGGGAAUGUGGAGUGAGAAGUGAGAGGAGCUCACCACUAUUUAUAGCCUUUGGGAGAAUUGCAAAAAAAACCCAGAAAAUCCAGAAAUUGCAAGGGAAGAGAUCGGAAAUUGAUCUCUGAAUCCCUGAAAUCACGCCGGAGUCGACAACUCCGUAGGGGAGUCGCCGAUUCCGGACACUAAUUUGCAAAAUUGGGCAGAUAUAUUUCCUUAUUUGGGAAAUUUGCAAAUAUUCUCCAAAUAUCUCGAGGAUCUUCUAAGAGAUCCGACAGUUCACAACAGGAGUCGUCGAUUCCCAAAGGGAGUCGCCGAUUCCAGAGGGUAAAAUUUCAAAAUGCCCCUCACAGGUACCCAAAACUCAGGAAUGGCCGAUUGGGACACCCAAUCGCCGACUCAGGGUAAACUGCUUCACGAGCAUGUUUUCAGGGGGGAGUAUCACAAACUCUCUCCGGCACUUCUGUCGCUUCGGCCAGAAGUCGUUGCAUUUCGAGGGGGAGUAUCACAAACUCUAUCCGGCAUCAUGGUUCAAAUCUAGGGUUAUAAUAAAAAAAUUACGAGUUUAACCCUCGAUUUCCAAAUAUUUACAUCUUAUUUUUUGAUCUGUUAUUCGUGCUAUUUUUUACAACUCUGUGUUAAAUUGGAAAUGUAAAUUGUCCGCAAAUUUAACGGACGGCUGAACUACGAUUCGUACGACCAAACUUACGCCCAGAGUGGCUAAGAUAGGGUUAGCAGAGUCUGACUUAUGUCCAGAGAGGCUAAGUUACGACUUGUGAAUCUAGCUUCGAGCCUAAGUUACAAUUUAAAUGAUGAUUUAUAUGAAAAAUUAACAAAGAAAAAACAAAAAAUAGUUCAUUGACAGUCAAAAUAAAAAGAUUACAAAAUAUUGUAGAAAAAUUAAUCAUUCCAAAAAAAAAAAUACAUAUGUCACACUGACAUGAUCCUCAGGGAGGAGUAUCACAAACUCUUUCCGACACUUCUGUCGCUUAGGCCAGAAGUCGUCACAUUUCGAGGGGGAGUAUCACAAACUCUCCCGAUACUUUUGUCGCUUCGGCCAGAAAUCGUCACAUUUCGAGGGGGAGUAUCACAAACUCUCCCGUCCCUACGGCCGGAAGUUGUCAAAAUAGAGCACGGUAAAUCUGUUGCUUCGGCCAGAAUCCGGUCUAUCUUGUCGCUUUGGUCUUGAUAGACCAGAGAUCAUUUUGUCGCUUUGGCCUUAAUAAUGGGUUCACCGUCGUUGCGGACAUAAAGUCGCUCUUGAUCAGAGUUGACUAUAAAUAUUAGUUCUAUCGUUUUGGCUAGAACUAGAUUCUGUCGCUUCGGCCAGAAUCGGAUCUAUUCUGUCGCUUUGGCUUUAAUAGAUCCAGGUCCAUUUUGUCGCUUUGGCUUUAAUGGACCAAGAAUUAUUUUGUCGCUUUGGCUUUAACAAUUCUCUCAUCUUGUCGCUUUGGCCUUGAUGACACAACAAAAGUCGCUCUUGAUCAGAGUUGGACUAUAAACACGUAGUUCCGUUGGCAUGAAACUAAAUUCUGUCGCUUCGGCCAGAAUCAAGAAUCAAUCCAUUUUGUCGCUUUAGCCUUAAUGGAUACAGAAUCAUGGUGUCGCUGUGGCCGCAAUGAUUCAAUCCCAUCUUGUCGCUUUGGCCUUGAUGCGGAUCACACACAACCUUGCUUGGAAGGGGAUAUUGGCGAUACACGCAUGUUUCUUGUGCUCUCUUUAGGGGGGAGUACUGAUGAGACAUGUCUGAUUACGUCAGUCACUCCCAUCAACGCCUUUCAACAAGGACUAGGGUUUCGUCGCUUUAUGCCGGACUCCCGGGGAACAAAACGGUUGCGGAACAAGUGUCUACGUCAAGUCCUCAAGUCAACACAUGGGAAUCGACGAUUGGGACUACCAAGUCGCCGAUUCCAGAGGUGAGUCGACGAGUCGAGAUCAAGUUAGUCAGUUCUGGUAGACUGACGACCUUGCUCCUAGGACUCGCCGAUUCCACCUCUGAAUCGACGACUCCCAUACCUGAGUCGCCGAUUCUUAGCCGUUACUUGUGGCUGGCUCACAACAUUAUGGCACCAUUAAUCGGGCGCUAUAAUGGUGUGGGCCCGGCUCUAUAUUGGGUCGUUUCCCCAAAGACCCUAUAAAGGGGUCCUUGGGGGUCCUCCCAAUCCAUCUCAUCCUCACUUGACACACCCCAACCAGAGCACAUUAAGGAGCCUGAAUCGUCUAAUCUCAAGCUGAGUCGUCGAUUCCCCUCCUCUCUGCAGGAAUUUGACGUAGAGCGCGCGUCGUUGACUCCAAAGCCUCCGGCCCUUCUCGCAACCCCGCGAGCCCCUGGUAGCAGAUUACGUGCUUCAUCAUAGCUCAGUUCCACGCACUAACAAAAUGUUGGGUAUGAUCAUUGCACGAUCUCAUAAUACAACUUACGAAAAUGACAGUCUUUUUAUGACGAUUGACUCCACAAAACAUUUCAAAUAUCAAAGAAUAAACAUUCGUUUUAUAAGUGGUGUCAAAUAUUGUAACUGCAUCUCCAAAUAACUUAAAAUGUUGAAUCAUUAUAGAAUCAGCUUAAAAAACAUGUUUCAAUCUUCCGAUCGAAUCUUUGACAAUAGAAUAAAAGAAAUCAGACUGUACAUAAUUUUUCGUUUCGAAUUUCUCGACCAAUAGAUCAACGUUAUAAUUCUUCAAAUCGACACAACCCAAAUUUGAUAUAUUCAAUUGAGUAUAUCCCAUAUGCUCGAUUCCACCGACUUGAAAAACGGAUACGUUGACAUCACUAAUAGAAUUGAAAAGUAAUAUGAAGGUAGAGAGGAUAUUGAAAGGUACCGUACUUUGGAUAUUGAACGGUUAUUGAAGUGAUUAAUAGUCACGUCUCAUUGGAAAUAGUUUUUUUCUUUCUUCUAAGUCAAGCAACCGUUGACAAGACAAUACAACGCAUAGGUUCAUACAUAUGUUUCCUGCUAUUAAUUAACUAGCUAUUGAUUUAUUCAUGUCACAUUCUAUUAUCCAGCAUGUAAACGGUUAAUUACAUCAUUCUACUACUAUUAUGUAACACACGGCUGACAUUACAUCAACUUAUACCAACGGCCAGGAUUGAUACGGCACAUAUAGUUAUAUUCCACCAGAAUUUUUCCCUAUAUAUAUAUAUAUAUAUAACGAAGCAGCGAUUGGUUGUAGAGUUAAAAAUAUGAUAUACAAGCUGAUUUAGAAUCUUAAUUGUGUAAUUUAGAAGAAGUCGUUUGUUUAACUGCAAUAAUCUAAAUAAAAUGACGGAAUUCAUGGCUAGAAAUGGACGAGGGGCCGGUUUCGUCUGUGUAUAAAUUCCCCACAAGGCCACAACGUAUAGCAUCGUACUUACUCAUAAUAAAUAAUAUAUAUAUAUAUAUAUAUAUAUAUAAUUUAUAACAAAUUUAUAAACACAUAAAUAAAUAAAUAAAUAAUUAUAUAUAGAUAUAACUAUAAUAUAAUAUAUGGGAGGGUUUAAUUUAUCAGUUGAUUCUUUUUUUUUUUGGUGUUGGUUUUGGUUUUGGGCUUCACCCAGAUUGACAAAGUCGUUUCCACGAAAAGCUUUGUGUUGACAAAAUAUGGAGCCAAGAGCAAUGGAAAAAGUGAUUGUACCAGUGCCUUGUUAGCUGCAUGGAAAGAUGCAUGUCAAACCCCAGGAGGCGCCAUGGUUCUGGUUCCUUCCGGCAAGUAUCUCACUGCCAUGGCGUUUUUGAAGGGACCAUGCAAAGGUCCCAUGACAUUCAAAUUGGAUGGAGUGCUUUUGGCCACCAAAGAUCUUUCAAAAUAUCAAAGAAAAAAUUGGAUUUCAUUUGAAUUCAUUAAGAAUUUCAAACUCAUCGGCAGAGGAACGUUCGAUGGGCAAGGUCAAUCGGCAUGGGCAAAUAACAAGAGGACCGGAAAAACUUUCCCCACGGUACGUACGUUAAAAUAGCUAGAUAGAUUUCAAAUGAAAUGUUUAUAGUUUUUUUUUACAAUCGAUCGAUCUAAUCAUGUGGUCGGUCGGAUUUAAAAACAUGCAUUAACCAGUCUUUGCAAUUCACCAAUAUCGACAACGGAGUAGUCCAAGGAUUCUCUUUAUUAAACGCGAAGAUGUUUCACAUGAUGAUCUUCCGAUGCAACAACCUGAUGGUGGACAGCGUAAAAAUCAACGCACCAGGCAACAGUCCCAACACAGAUGGCAUUCACAUAAGUCUCUGUAACAACAUCAUUAUCAAAAACACCAAGAUAAGUACCGGAGAUGACUGCAUCUCCAUAGGGCAGACCAACAGAGGUCUCUCCAUCACCAACGUGAUCUGCGGCCCAGGACAUGGUAUCAGUGUGGGAAGUCUCGGAAAGUAUAAUUCUGACAAGGAUGUUAGCGACAUCAUGGUGAGUAGGUGCAACAUCAAGGGAACAACCAAUGGCGUUAGAAUCAAGACAUGGCAGAAAUCUUACCCCUUGACUUGCAGAAACUUCACGUUCCAAAACAUCAAGAUGGAUAACGUGUUGAACCCCAUCAUUAUCGAUCAGGAAUACUGUCCAUAUGGAAAUGGGCGUUGCGGUGGACAAUCGACCUCAUCUCAGGUUAGUAUCAGAGACGUCACUUACGACACAAUCAAAGGAUCCUCG
Molecule: long non-coding RNA, 28936 nt
Filed under: Zostera marina
Lineage: Eukaryota; Viridiplantae; Streptophyta; Magnoliopsida; Alismatales; Zosteraceae
Description: long non-coding RNA (ZMAR_LNC004653)
Source: RNAcentral